Molecule: ribosomal RNA, 300 nt
Filed under: uncultured Streptomyces sp.
Lineage: Bacteria; Bacillati; Actinomycetota; Actinomycetes; Kitasatosporales; Streptomycetaceae
Description: bacterial SSU rRNA
Rfam family: Bacterial small subunit ribosomal RNA
Source: RNAcentral
CACGUGGGCAAUCUGCCCUGCACUCUGGGACAAGCCCUGGAAACGGGGUCUAAUACCGGAUAUGGCUGUCCAUCGCAUGGUGGAUGGUGUAAAGCUCCGGCGGUGCAGGAUGAGCCCGCGGCCUAUCAGCUUGUUGGUGAGGUAGUGGCUCACCAAGGCGACGACGGGUAGCCGGCCUGAGAGGGCGACCGGCCACACUGGGACUGAGACACGGCCCAGACUCCUACGGGAGGCAGCAGUGGGGAAUAUUGCACAAUGGGCGAAAGCCUGAUGCAGCGACGCCGCGUGAGGGAUGACGGC